Molecule: ribosomal RNA, 673 nt
Filed under: uncultured bacterium
Lineage: Bacteria
Description: bacterial SSU rRNA
Rfam family: Bacterial small subunit ribosomal RNA
Source: RNAcentral
ACGGUGAUAGCAAUAUCAUAGUGGCGCACGGGUGCGUAACACGUAUUGCAACCUACCUAUUAUUGGGGGAUAGCCUUUGGAAACGGAGAUUAAUACCGCAUAAUACGAUUGACUGGCAUCGGUUGAUUGUUAAAGCUUAGGCGAUAAUAGAUGGGCAUGCGUCCAAUUAGUUAGUUGGUUAGGUAACGGCUGACCAAGACGAUGAUUGGUAGGGGAUCUGAGAGGAUAAUCCCCCACACUGGCACUGAGAUACGGGCCAGACUCCUACGGGAGGCAGCAGUAGGGAAUAUUGGGCAAUGGGCGGAAGCCUGACCCAGCCAUGCCGCGUGCAGGAAGAAGGCGUUAUGCGUUGUAAACUGCUUUUUUAUAGGAAGAAGGAUCCCUUGCGAGGGAAGGUGACGGUACUAUAAGAAUAAGCACCGGCUAACUCCGUGCCAGCAGCCGCGGUAAUACGGAGGGUGCAAGCGUUGUCCGGAUUUAUUGGGUUUAAGGGUGUGUAGGCGGUUUAUUAAGUCAGUGGUGAAAGACGGUCGCUCAACGAUUGCAGUGCCAUUGAUACUGGUAGACUUGAGUGAGAUUGAGGUAGCUGGAAUGGAUAGUGUAGCGGUGAAAUGCAUAGAUAUUAUCCAGAACACCGAUUGCGAAGGCAGGUUACUAAGUCUUAACUGACGCU